Molecule: non-coding RNA, 735 nt
Filed under: Empoascanara gracilis
Lineage: Eukaryota; Metazoa; Arthropoda; Insecta; Hemiptera; Cicadellidae
Source: RNAcentral
UAAGGUUAGAUUUAUUUUCUUUUAAUUAAUUUUUUACAUCUAUUAUAUGAAUAUUUGUUAAACUUUUAUUUUUCAGUAAUAAAUAUUUUUAAUUAUUCUUAUUUUUAUUAAGGUAUGUGUUUUAUGUUAAGUUAAAAUUGUGCCAGCAUCUGCGGUUAUACAAUUUAAUAAAAUUAAUUUUUUAAGUUUUAAUUUUAAAUUUUUGAGGUUUAAUCUAAAUUAUUUAGGUGAAAUUUUUAUUUUAUUUUUGCUUCUUUUUAUCAUCUUAGUAAAUUUUUAUUUUAAACCAGGAUUAGAUACCCUGUUAUUUCUUACUUACAAUAUCUUACUUUAACAUUAAUAGUUAUAUUCUAUUAAAUUUGAAUAAUUUGGCGGUAAUUUAUAAUUAGAGGAACCUGUCUUUUAAUUGAUACGCCACGAUAAGUAUUACUUUAAAUUUUAUUUGUAUAUCUCUAUUAUUUUGAGUAUUUUUAUUCUAAAGAAAGUUCUUUUUUUAAUAUUUAUUUUAUGUUAGGUCAAGGUGCAGUUAUUUUUUAGUUGCUGUGGGUUACUUUAAUUUUAAAUAUUUUUGAUCUUUAUUUUUUAAAUUUUGUGAAAUAGGAUUUGAUAGUAAUUUUGAAUUAUUUUUUAUUUUGAAUAUUAAUUUAAAUUAUGUACAUAUUGCCCGUCACUCUCAUUUAAGUUGAGAUAAGUCGUAACAAAGUAAUUUUACUGGAAAGUGUAGUUAGAAUAUUU